GUGACUAAGAGUACUCGGAUAAGGAAUUCCAAGACCCAUGACUGAAGAGAGAUGCAGUGCGGCAAAACUGUUCUUUCAUCAGAGCAGAAACCAUUUGGUCCCAGGUCCCAGCGGUUAGCAGGGUUGUGCUUUGGCUAGAAAAGGUGGAGGUUCAUGGAGAAGAGACGCUGGAAACGAUGUGGGAUUCGUGGAGACUGCGAUUAACAGAAACAGCAGGGUUGAGGGCCUCUGCCGGGCACUUCCGGCGUGAGCACAGCGCGAGCCGGGGCAGCCAGCGCAGCGGGCGGGUCCCGGAAACGGAACAGGAAGCGGAAGUCCACAGCCCCUUCCGCCAUGAAGCCCGGACGUGGCAACCCCCGAGUCCUGGCACACAGCAGUCCUUGCGGUGCCUCCUUCCAGACUCCAGCUUUCCCUGCAGCAUGGCUUUUCAUGGCAAGUUCCAGGCGGAGAGUGAGAAGAAUUACGACGAGUUCAUGAAGCGCCUGGGUCUCCCCAGUGACAUUCUUGAGAAGGGUCGUAACUCCAAGGUCAUCACGGAGGUGCAGCAGGAUGGGCAGGACUUCACCUGGGCGCAGUCCUACUCUGGGGGCCACCUCGUCACCAACAAGUUCACCAUCGGAAAGGAGAGCGACAUGGUUUCCCUGGGGGGCAAGAACUUCAAGGCCACUGUGAAGAUGGAGGGCGGGAAGAUAGUGUUCGACUUUCCCAACUAUCGCCAGACCUCAGAGAUUGUGGGUGACAAGCUGGUGGAGCGAAGCUCUGGGUCUCAGAGACAGCGUAUGACUUGCCCCGGGCUGCACAGCUAGAGCACAGUAGAGAUGGACACCAUCCCGACUUCCAGGCCAGACUCUCCGCCUGUCCUCCCCAGCCUAGUCUCCACCAUCGGAGAUGUGAGCUACGAGCGUGUGAGCAAGCGGCUGGCCUGAGCCACCAGGCCGAGCACCA
RNA transcript from Fukomys damarensis (Damara mole-rat), 945 nucleotides. It is a transcript of the gene named fatty acid binding protein 6, with no coding region annotated. Lineage: Eukaryota; Metazoa; Chordata; Mammalia; Rodentia; Bathyergidae. The transcript is spliced from 6 exons. The record is from RefSeq and is a predicted model, not a curated record.